RNAcentral lists this unclassified non-coding RNA (391 nucleotides) under Moritella viscosa. Its description in RNAcentral is "putative sRNA". Lineage: Bacteria; Pseudomonadati; Pseudomonadota; Gammaproteobacteria; Alteromonadales; Moritellaceae. The record is from RNAcentral.
GACAAGGUGUCAUAUACAACCACUUUAUAGCCAUAUCUCCUGCUAAAUAUGAAACUACCACCACACUAUACCUCUCAGGGGUUGAACCCUAGUUUAAAACGCUAAGACCAGUAAAAUAGAGUGGAUAUGUUAAAUUGUUGUAAAUAAAAGAAUUAGCCUGCAAAUUGAGCAUAAAUCAUUGUUAAUAAAAGAAUUCACCUAUAUUGGGUAACAUGAUUCAUUAUAAUCAGCAUAAACAGGGUAUCCAAAUAGGAGUAUUUAAAUGCUUUUUUUUAUUAACAUAUCUAUAAAAUUUAAUAUCCGCUUCCACUGUUACAAGAGGUCGAUAACGAACAGUUAAACGUGAGUAGUUUCAAUAACGAAAGAGUCGAUAAAAAGUGCAGGAGUUCAA